AUUGAACGCUGGCGGAAUGCUUUACACAUGCAAGUCGAACGGCAGCACGGACUUCGGUCUGGUGGCGAGUGGCGAACGGGUGAGUAAUGUAUCGGAACGUGCCCAGUCGUGGGGGAUAACGUAGUGAAAAUUACGCUAAUACCGCAUACGAUCUAUGGAUGAAAGCGGGGGAUCGCAAGACCUCGCGCGAUUGGAGCGGCCGAUAUCAGAUUAGGUAGUUGGUGGGGUAAAGGCUCACCAAGCCAACGAUCUGUAGCUGGUCUGAGAGGACGACCAGCCACACUGGAAAGGAGACACGGUACAGACUCCUACGGGAGGCAGCAGUGGGGAAUUUUGGACAAUGGACGCAAGUCUGAUCCAGCCAUUCCGCGUGCAGGAUGAAGGCCCUCGGGUUGUAAACUGCUUUUGUACGGAACGAAACGGCGAGCUCUAAUACAGUUUGCUAAUGACGGUACCGUAAGAAUAAGCACCGGCUAACUACGUGCCAGCCGCCGCGGUAA
Molecule: ribosomal RNA, 500 nt
Filed under: uncultured bacterium
Lineage: Bacteria
Description: partial 16S ribosomal RNA
Rfam family: Bacterial small subunit ribosomal RNA
Source: RNAcentral